UACAGAGGUCUCAAGCGUUGUUCGGAUUCAUUGGGCGUAAAGGGUGCGUAGGCGGCGCGGUAAGUCGGGUGUGAAAUCUCGGGGCUUAACUCCGAAACUGCAUUCGAUACUGCCGUGCUUGAGGACUGGAGAGGAGACUGGAAUUUACGGUGUAGCGGUGAAAUGCGUAGAUAUCGUAAGGAAGACCAGUGGCGAAGGCGGGUCUCUGGACAGUUCGACGCUGAGGCACGAAGGCCAGGGGAGCAAACGGG
Molecule: ribosomal RNA, 251 nt
Filed under: uncultured bacterium
Lineage: Bacteria
Description: partial 16S ribosomal RNA
Rfam family: Bacterial small subunit ribosomal RNA
Source: RNAcentral